GCAAAAAUAAAUUCGAUUCGAAAAAGACGGAUCAGUUUACUCUGUUCAAAAGACUCCAUCCUAUCCCAUGAGGGUGAGCUAAUUUUAUUUUUACGUUCAUGUUUGCAAUUAUUUUACGAUUUUUAUCUGUUGCGAAAUCUCGCCAUAAUCAAACAUUUGUUUUUGUAAAGUGGAAACACGAUAUGAUUAUGAAUUCUUUUUGGACGCCAUAUUUUCAUAUUGGUGUUGUUCGUCUCUGAAUAUUGUCAAUAUUCUCGUUUUUAAUUAAGAUCAAAAAUUAUAAAGUUCAAUAAAGCAGGACUCGAGGGAAUGUUUAGGAAGUGCGAAGUUUGUCACAAGGUAUUUUCUACGAAAGGAAAUUUGGUGGCACACAAACGAACACACACUGGAGACAAACCUUAUGAAUGUGAUGUUUGCAACAAAAGAUUUUCACAAUCGAGCCACUUAGCUAGACAUAAGAGAACACACACUGGAGACAGACCUUAUGAAUGUGAUGUUUGCAACAAAAGAUUUUCACGAUCGAGCCACUUAGCUACACAUAAGAGAACACAUACUGGAGACAAACCUUAUGAAUGUGAUGUUUGCAACAAACAAUAUUUGCAGGCAGGUCACUUAACUGAACAUAAGAGAACACAUACUGGAGAGAAACCUUAUGAAUGUGAUGUUUGCAACAAAAGAUUUUCGCAUUCAGGUGCCUUAGUGGUUCAUAAGAGAACACACACUGGAGAAAAAGCUUAUGAGUGUGAUGUUUGCAACAAACGAUUUUCAGGGUCAGGUGCCUUAACUGUACACAAAAGAACACAUACUGGAGACAGACCUUAUGAAUGUGAUGUUUGCAACAAACGCUUUUCGCAAUCAAGCACCUUAAGUAGACAUAAGAAAACACACACUGGAGACAAAUCUUACCAAUGUGACGUUUGCAACAAGAGAUUUUCACAAACGAGCCACUUAGCAAGACAUAAACGAAUGCAUGCUGAAGACAAACCUUAUGG
This is a non-coding RNA of Paramuricea clavata, 992 nucleotides long. The record is from the annotation of a GenBank genome assembly. NCBI's taxonomy places the organism in Eukaryota, Metazoa, Cnidaria, Anthozoa, Malacalcyonacea, Plexauridae.